CUCCAGACUCCUACGGGAGGCAGCAGUGGGGAAUAUUGCACAGUGGGGGAAACCCUGAUGCAGCGACGCCGCGUGAGCGAUGAAGUAUUUCGGUAUGUAAAGCUCUAUCAGCAGGGAAGAAAAUGACGGUACCUGACUAAGAAGCCCCGGCUAACUACGUGCCAGCAGCCGCGGUAAUACGUAGGGGGCAAGCGUUAUCCGGAUUUACUGGGUGUAAAGGGAGCGUAGACGGCAUGGCAAGUCAGAUGUGAAAGCCCGGGGCUCAACCCCGGGACUGCAUUUGAAACUGUCAGGCUGGAGUGCAGGAGAGGUAAGUGGAAUUCCUAGUGUAGCGGUGAAAUGCGUAGAUAUUAGGAGGAACACCAGUGGCGAAGGCGGCUUACUGGACUGUAACUGACGUUGAGGCUCGAAAGCGUGGGGAGCAAACAGGAUUAGAUACCCCGGUA
RNAcentral lists this ribosomal RNA (446 nucleotides) under uncultured bacterium. Its description in RNAcentral is "bacterial SSU rRNA". It matches the Rfam family "Bacterial small subunit ribosomal RNA", at positions 329 to 792 of the family's 1533-position model. The record is from RNAcentral.